Molecule: ribosomal RNA, 468 nt
Filed under: uncultured bacterium
Lineage: Bacteria
Description: partial 16S ribosomal RNA
Rfam family: Bacterial small subunit ribosomal RNA
Source: RNAcentral
GACGAACGCUGGCGGCGUGCUUAACACAUGCAAGUCGAACGGAAAGGCCCUGCUUUUGUGGGGUGCUCGAUUGGCGAACGGGUGAGUAACACGUGAGUAACCUGCCCUUGACUUUGGGAUAUCUUCAGGAAACUGGGGCUAAUACCUGAUAGGAGCUCCUGCUGCAUGGUGUGGGUUGGAAAGUUUCGGCGGUUGGGGAUGGACUCGCGGCUUAUCAGCUUGUUUGUGGGGUAGUGGCUUACCAAGGCUUUGACGGGUAGGCGGCCUGAGAGGGUGACCGGCAACAUUGGGACUGAGAUACGGACCAGACGAGAACGGGAGGCAGCAGUGGGGAAUAUUGCACAAUGGGAGGAAGCAUGAUGCAGCAAAGCAGCGUGCGGGAUGAAGGCCUUCGGGUUGUAAAACGAUUUCGCCUGUGACGAAGAGUGAGUGACGGUAAUGGGUAAAGAAGCACCGGCUAACUACGUG